AACAAACGCUGGCGGCGUGUCUUAAGCAUGCAAGUUGAGCGGCAAGGAGGAGAGAUCCUCCCUAGAGCGGCGGACUGGUGAGUAACGCGUGGGUAAUCUAUCUUAGGCAUGGGGAUAGUCACUAGAAAUAGUGGGUAAUACCGAAUAAGUUCCAUAAGGGGAGGACUUAUGGAAGAAAGGUGCUACGGCACUGGCCUUAGGUGAGCUCGCGUCCCAUUAGCUAGUUGGUGAGGUAAAGGCCCACCAAGGCGAUGAUGGGUAGCCGGCCUGAGAGGGUGUACGGCCACACUGGGACUGAGAUACGGCCCAGACUCCUACGGGAGGCAGCAGCUAAGAAUAUUCCGCAAUGGACGGAAGUCUGACGGAGCGACGCCGCGUGGAUGAAGAAGGCCGAAAGGUUGUAAAGUUCUUUUGCUAGGGGAGAAUAAGUGUGGGAGGGAAUGCCUGCACGAUGACAAGGACUAGCGAAUAAGUCCCGGCCAACUACGUGCCAGCAGCCGC
This 501-nucleotide ribosomal RNA is filed under the name uncultured bacterium. RNAcentral describes it as "bacterial SSU rRNA". It matches the Rfam family "Bacterial small subunit ribosomal RNA", at positions 29 to 518 of the family's 1533-position model. The record is from RNAcentral.